This is a long non-coding RNA of Eptatretus burgeri (inshore hagfish), 791 nucleotides long. The record is from Ensembl. NCBI's taxonomy places the organism in Eukaryota, Metazoa, Chordata, Myxini, Myxiniformes, Myxinidae.
UUUGUGUUGAAACUGUUGCACAUGGAUGAUAUGAGUGCAUUUCGAGUCAUGAUCAACACCACAGUGGACACCAUCAAACGUUGAAGAGGCUGCGGGGGCCAGGAUGUCGUGUUUCCUUUCGGCUCCAAUCAAAUGGGAAAAGCCCAUCAAAACGACAGGUGCGCAACACAUUCAUGGCAAGGUGGAGGUGAUGAAAAACUGAUUUGUCAUUACAAGCCGAGCUCCCACUAGGGAGUGAAAGUGAAGACGUGAGACAUCAGUAACCGCAGUAUCGAUGGAGACGGGACGACGUGAAGAUGCAAGGGACCAGUGAUGGGGAUGUCCUCGCCAUGCCUUGCAUGCAUGCUGCUGCCAACCAUGUUCCGCAUGCACCAACUCCUCACAAACCGCCACUUCUGCCAAGAACCCGAACCUCCAGGAACUUUCCAAGCACGAACAGUAACAAGCUACCAAACAACCAGGGCCUCGGGACAGAAGAACGAGCACGACCACCACAAACUACAAAAUUACUGCAAUGCCUCGCCUGUUCGAAGAACAGAGAACAAUAGCGAUACCCCGGCGUGAGCGUCAGCAUCAGCGUGAGCGUGAGCGUGAGUGUGAAAAUGUUAAAGUUUUUGGUGCAAGUUAUUUAGAAGCUUGCCAUUCAUGAAUAUGUGUACUAGGAUGCUGAUAUUUGGCAUGGAGGUUCCUUUUGGGUAUAUUAUUGAUGUAGUGAAGUUGAAAUAAAAAAGUAAUUUCAAAUGUUUUAAAUUUUUGACCUGUUUUGAACUUAACUUUUUUGUAGCACAUCA